GAUGAACGCUGACAGAAUGCUUAACACAUCAGCAAUUGAUUGGUGGCGGACGGGUGAGUAACGCGUAAAGAACUUACCUCACAGUUAGGGACAACAUAUGGAAACGAAUGCUAAUACCUAAUACUGUGAGAGAGAUUUGCGUCCCAUUAGAUAGUUGGAGAGGUAACGGCUCACCAAGGCGAGGAUGGGUAGCCGGCCUGAGAGGGUGAUCGGCCACAAGGGGACUGAGACACGGCCCUUACUCCUACGGGAGUCAGCAGUGGGUAUUAUUGGACAAUGUACCAAAGUCUGAUCCAGCAAUUCGGUGUGCACGAUGAAUUUUUCGGAAUGUAAAGUGCUUUCAGUUGAGAAGCGGUACCAACAGAAGAAGUGACGGCUAAAUACGUGCCAGCAGCCGCGGUAAUAC
Molecule: ribosomal RNA, 406 nt
Filed under: uncultured bacterium
Lineage: Bacteria
Description: partial 16S ribosomal RNA
Rfam family: Bacterial small subunit ribosomal RNA
Source: RNAcentral